This 21-nucleotide non-coding RNA is filed under the name Caenorhabditis elegans. Lineage: Eukaryota; Metazoa; Nematoda; Chromadorea; Rhabditida; Rhabditidae. The record is from RNAcentral.
UGCAUGAAGUUUUUGAUUGCG